UACGGGGGGGGCAAGCGUUGUCCGGAUUUAUUGGGCGUAAAGAGCGUGUAGGCGGCUGGGUAGGUCCGUUGUGAAAACUCGAGGCUCAACCUCGAGACGCCGAUGGAAACCCUCCAGCUAGAGUCCGGAAGAGGAGAGUGGAAUUCCUGGUGUAGCGGUGAAAUGCGCAGAUAUCAGGAAGAACACCCGUGGCUAAGGCGGCUCUCUAGUACGGUACUGACGCUGAGACGCGAAAGCGUGGGGAGCGAACAGG
RNAcentral lists this ribosomal RNA (253 nucleotides) under uncultured bacterium. RNAcentral describes it as "partial 16S ribosomal RNA". It matches the Rfam family "Bacterial small subunit ribosomal RNA", at positions 524 to 776 of the family's 1533-position model. The record is from RNAcentral.